GAGAAAGAGCAAGAAAACAGUAAGUACUGCUAACACUUAUUACCAUGGUUAAACUCCACGGCUUUCUUA
This 69-nucleotide transfer RNA is filed under the name Danio dangila (olive danio). RNAcentral's name for it is "tRNA-Ser". The record is from RNAcentral. Lineage: Eukaryota; Metazoa; Chordata; Actinopteri; Cypriniformes; Danionidae.